CUAGCAUGGGGCCAGUUUAGCAUGGGGCCAGUUUAGCAUGGGGCCGGUCUAACAUGGGGCCGGUCUAGCAUGGGGCCAGUCUAGCAUGGGGCCAGUCUAGCAUGGGGCCAUCUAGCAUAGGCCAGUCUACCCCAAGGUCAGUCUAGCAUGGGGCCAGUCUAGCUUGGGGCCAGUCCAUCAUGGGGCCAGUCUACCCCAAGGCCAGUCUAGUAUGAGACCAGUCUAGUAUGGGACCAGUCUACCCCAAGGCCAGUCUAGUAUGGGUCCAGUCUAGUAUGGGACCAGUCUACCCCAAGGCCAGUCUAGUAUGGGACCAGUCUAGUAUGGGACCAGUCUACCCCAAGGCCAGUCUAGCAUGGGGCAAGUCUAGCCCAGGGCUAGUCUAGCCCGAGGUCAGUCUAGCCCGGGGUCAGUCUAGCAUGGGGCCAUCUAGCAUUGGGCCAGUCUAGCAUGGGGCCAGUCUGUCCCGGGGCCAGUCUACCCCAAGGCCAGUCUAGCAUGGACCAGUCUAGCAUUUGGCCAGUCUAGCAUGAGGCAAGUCUAGGGUACCAGUGGGUCAUUCUAUAAACUAGGGUACCAGUGGGUCAUUCUAUAAACUAGGGUACCAGUGGGUCAUUCUAUAAACUAGGGCACCAGUGGGUCAUUCUAUAAACCAGGGUCCCAAUGGGUCUCUAUAAACUAGGGUACCAGUGGGUCUCUAUAAACUAGGAUCCCAGUGGGUCUCUAUAAACUAGGGAACCAGUGGGUCUUUCUAUAAACUGGGGUCCCAGUGGGUCUCUAUAAACUAGGGUCCCAGUGGGUCUUUCUAUAAACUAGGGUCCCAGUGGGUCUCUAUAAACUAGGGUCCCAGUGGGUCUCAAUAAACUAGGGUCCCAGUGGGUCUUUCUAUAAACUAGGGUCCCAGUGGGUCAUUCUAUAAACUAGGGUCCCAGUGGGUCUCAAUAAACUAGGGUCCCAGUGGGUCUUUCUAUAAACUAGGGUACCAGUGGGUCUUUCUAUAAACUAGGGUACCAGUGGGUCUCAAUAAACUAGGGUCCCAGUGGGUCUUUCUAUAAACUAGGGUACCAGUGGGUCAUUCUAUAAACUAGGGUACCAGUGGGUCAUUCUAUAAACUAGGGUACCAGUGGGUCUUUCUAUAAACUAGGGUACCAGUGGGUCAUUCUAUAAACUAAUGCACCAACGAGCAUUUCUUGUAGUGAACUGUUUGGAGCGGUUACUAAGUCAUUAAUAAUGAUUUGCCAUUUAAUUUCAGGUGAAUACAUUACGAAGUUAAAGGGGGAACAUAGAUACAUUCAAUAUAAUUCAUGAGUUGAAUCAAAACCUGUGUUUAACGUCUUUCAUGGAUUUGAGAAAUAUUGUGUAACACAAAACCCUAUUAUAUUGAUGAUACUGCUGUUUGUUGUUAUUUCAUAUACAAAGCAUUUUAACAAUUGAAUUACACAUUGACCUUGAUCCUGGGAAAUUAUUGGAUAUUGCUUGUCAGACUCUUUUUAGUGUGGAGAUCUGGGAAGUGGACUGUGACCUCAUAACAUUUAGUAUCUUCUAAUGUUACAGUGUGAAAACAGUUUUCAUGGGCACACAUAUCCAAAACAAUGUACUGUAUGUGAUUACAAAAUC
Molecule: long non-coding RNA, 1617 nt
Organism: Oncorhynchus tshawytscha (Chinook salmon)
Lineage: Eukaryota; Metazoa; Chordata; Actinopteri; Salmoniformes; Salmonidae
Source: Ensembl